CUCCAGACUCCUACGGGAGGCAGCAGUGGGGGAUAUUGCACAAUGGGGGAAACCCUGAUGCAGCGACGCCGCGUGAGUGAAGAAGUAUUUCGGUAUGUAAAGCUCUAUCAGCAGGGAAGAAGAUGACAGUACCUGAGUAAGAAGCCCCGGCUAACUACGUGCCAGCAGCCGCGGUAAUACGUAGGGGGCAAGCGUUAUCCGGAUUUACUGGGUGUAAAGGGAGCGUAGACGGUUAUGUAAGUCUGGAGUGAAAGCCCGGGGCCCAACCCCGGGACUGCUUUGGAAACUGUGUAACUAGAGUACAGGAGGGGCAGGCGGAAUUCCUGGUGUAGCGGUGAAAUGCGUAGAUAUCAGGAGGAACACCGGCGGCGAAGGCGGCUUACUGGACGGUAACUGACGUUGAGGCUCGAAAGCGUGGGGAGCAAACAGGAUUAGAUACCCGAGUAAAG
RNAcentral lists this ribosomal RNA (449 nucleotides) under uncultured bacterium. RNAcentral describes it as "bacterial SSU rRNA". It matches the Rfam family "Bacterial small subunit ribosomal RNA", at positions 329 to 793 of the family's 1533-position model. The record is from RNAcentral.